UUUUUUUUUUUUCCUUCUUAGUCGUGUGUACAUCAUUGGGAAUGGAGGGAAAUAAAUGACUGGAUGGUCGCUGCUUUUUAAGUUUCAAAUUGACAUUCCAGACAAGCGGUGCCUGAGCCCGUGCCUGUCUUCAGAUCUUCACAGCACAGUUCCUGGGAAGGUGGAGCCACCAGCCUCUCCCUGACAAGCAAAGUGGAUCAGCAAAGGCUGCAGUCACCAGCAUCUUUUCCAACCUUAAUGAACUGUAUCCUCAAAAGAACACUAUCAGACUGGCUCUGCCGACUUCCAGUUCUGGAACAAGAUGGUUAAACUCAUUUUUCCCUGCUCUGCUCCUCUAAAUACAACUAAGUACCUUGGAAACUAUUCAGCAGACAAUGAUAAAGGGCUCUGAAAGCUAGAAGAAAAGGUGUACUUGCAAGAAACCUCAGGACUUGAGUAACAGCAACAUGAUCUUGUUCUCACUAGAGAAUAAUUUCUACAUUAUGCCCAGGUUCUUCUGAGCUAUGAAGGGGCCCAGAUUUAAGGGCUAUUUUUGACACCCUAAAUGUGCUGAGACAAGUCAUUAAGGUGGUCCUGCCAGGACACAGCCAUCUAAAGCAGCAAUCUGCUUCUUGCCAGAAAAUCUCGUGCCUCUGCAGAGCCUUUUCCAGAAUGAACCACACCAUGCUGAGGAAAGGAGAAAGAGACUACCUACUGCAUUUCUGUCACUCGCUGAAAAGGACACUCUGUCAGAAAAUCUUCUAGCAAACUUCAAAGGGCAAAAUCACCCCUUGUUACUGAUAAAGCCCAGAGAGCUUCAGCAGCUAACAUUCCCUGGACAGGGCACAGCAAGGAUUUGAACCUAGGUCAGUCUGGCCAGAACACCCACAAGCUUUCCUUAACUCAGUGUGCUAUCUCCCCACGACUAGGUCACUACUGCUUUAUAAUCACCUUUGUAGCCACCAGUGGAUUUUGCUCAUCAGUAUUUUUCAGGCAAUUGAUACUUUAGAUAUUCAGCUGCAAGACGUAUGCAGUUUUCAUUGACAUCUUUUGGAGAAACUGACAAACCUGGACUUGACUUAAUGCCUUUGGAACCUUCCAAGAUGUUAUAUAACUCUAGAUAGAAGGCUGGGCCUCCAUGAUGUCAGGAAUGUUGCAUUCUUAUUUCCCCAUAGAUAAACCCAUUUGUCCACAAAGUCAAGGAGUCAGGCAGAGGCCCUUGCCAUGGGGCUUUUUAGGAUAAAGCAACAAGCCUGGACUUUGCUCUACAACAGGGUUUUGCAUAGGGAGUGGUAUGACCAGAUCCCUCAAGAAAGAAAGCUUAGAGACCAGGCCAGAGUCCACUGCAGUAGCCCAGUCAAGAGAGGAUGGUGACUUGGACUUGUAGUAGAGCCAGUUAGAAUGAAAGAAAUUGACACAUUCAGAAAUGGUUUUAGAGAUAGAGUCAAACUGGACCUGAUAAAGAACUAGAGAAGCGGAGUGAGGAUAAAGAGAAGAGCCAUGACUGACUCGGAAGAUUUUGUCUUGAAAAACUUGAGAACUCAAGACAGAGUGAAAUAAAAUCACAUGUGGGAAAAA
This is a long non-coding RNA of Homo sapiens (human), 1557 nucleotides long. Ensembl annotates it as MIR4435-2 host gene. Lineage: Eukaryota; Metazoa; Chordata; Mammalia; Primates; Hominidae. The record is from Ensembl.